GAUAUGCCUAGGUGGGAUUAGCUAGUUGGUGAGGUAAGGGCUCACCAAGGCGACGAUCCCUAGCUGGUCUGAGAGGAUGAUCAGCCACACUGGAACUGAGACACGGUCCAGACUCCUACGGGAGGCAGCAGUGGGGAAUAUUGCACAAUGGGCGCAAGCCUGAUGCAGCCAUGCCGCGUGUGUGAAGAAGGCCUUCGGGUUGUAAAGCACUUUCAGUCGUGAGGAAGGUAGUGUAGUUAAUAGCUGCAUUAUUUGACGUUAGCGACAGAAGAAGCACCGGCUAACUCCGUGCCAGCAGCCGCGGUAAUACGGAGGGUGCGAGCGUUAAUCGGAAUUACUGGGCGUAAAGCGCAUGCAGGUGGUUUGUUAAGUCAGAUGUGAAAGCCCGGGGCUCAACCUCGGAAUUGCAUUUGAAACUGGCAGACUAGAGUACUGUAGAGGGGGGUAGAAUUUCAGGUGUAGCGGUGAAAUGCGUAGAGAUCUGAAGGAAUACCGGUGGCGAAGGCGGCCCCCUGGACAGAUACUGACACUCAGAUGCGAAAGCGUGGGGAGCAAACAGGAUUAGAUACCCUGGUAGUCCACGCCGUAAACGAUGUCUACUUGGAGGUUGUGGCCUUGAGCCGUGGCUUUCGGAGCUAACGCGUUAAGUAGACCGCCUGGGGAGUACGGUCGCAAGAUUAAAACUCAAAUGAAUUGACGGGGGCCCGCACAAGCGGUGGAGCAUGUGGUUUAAUUCGAUGCAACGCGAAGAACCUUACCUACUCUUGACAUCCAGAGAACUUUCCAGAGAUGGAUUGGUGCCUUCGGGAACUCUGAGACAGGUGCUGCAUGGCUGUCGUCAGCUCGUGUUGUGAAAUGUUGGGUUAAGUCCCGCAACGAGCGCAACCCUUAUCCUUGUUUGCCAGCGAGUAAUGUCGGGAACUCCAGGGAGACUGCCGGUGAUAAACCGGAGGAAGGUGGGGACGACGUCAAGUCAUCAUGGCCCUUACGAGUAGGGCUACACACGUGCUACAAUGGCGCAUACAGAGGGCGGCCAACUUGCGAAAGUGAGCGAAUCCCAAAAAGUGCGUCGUAGUCCGGAUUGGAGUCUGCAACUCGACUCCAUGAAGUCGGAAUCGCUAGUAAUCGUGGAUCAGAAUGCCACGGUGAAUACGUUCCCGGGCCUUGUACACACCGCCCGUCACACCAUGGGAGUGGGCUGCAAAAGAAGUAGGUAGUUUAACCUUCGGGGGGACGCUUACCACUUUGUGGUUCAUGACUGGGGUGAAGUCGUAACAAGGUAGCGCUAGGGGAACCUGGCGCUGGAUCACCUCCUUAUACGAUGAU
RNAcentral lists this ribosomal RNA (1326 nucleotides) under Vibrio parahaemolyticus. RNAcentral's name for it is "bacterial SSU rRNA". It matches the Rfam family "Bacterial small subunit ribosomal RNA", at positions 224 to 1533 of the family's 1533-position model. Lineage: Bacteria; Pseudomonadati; Pseudomonadota; Gammaproteobacteria; Vibrionales; Vibrionaceae. The record is from RNAcentral.